UACAGAGGGUGCGAGCGUUGUUCGGAAUUAUUGGGCGUAAAGGGCGCGUAGGCGGUUUGUCGCGUCUGCUGUGAAAUCCCGAGGCUCAACCUCGGGCUUGCAGUGGGUACGGGCAGACUAGAGUCCGGAAGAGGAGAGUGGAAUUCCCGGUGUAGCGGUGAAAUGCGCAGAUAUCGGGAAGAACACCCGUGGCGAAGGCGGCUCUCUGGGACGGUACUGACGCUGAGACGCGAAAGCGUGGGGAGCGAACAGG
This 253-nucleotide ribosomal RNA is filed under the name uncultured bacterium. RNAcentral's name for it is "partial 16S ribosomal RNA". It matches the Rfam family "Bacterial small subunit ribosomal RNA", at positions 524 to 776 of the family's 1533-position model. The record is from RNAcentral.